GCCUCUAUAGCUCAGUUGGUAGAGCGCGGCACUAGUAUCACAUCUAGACCAUGCCGAGGUCUUCGGUUCAACUCCGAAUGGAGGCA
Oleoguttula mirabilis is the source of this 86-nucleotide non-coding RNA. NCBI's taxonomy places the organism in Eukaryota, Fungi, Ascomycota, Dothideomycetes, Mycosphaerellales, Teratosphaeriaceae. The record is from the annotation of a GenBank genome assembly.